GACGAACGCUGGCGGCGUGCUUAACACAUGCAAGUCGAACGGAAAGGCCCUGCUUUUGUGGGGUGCUCGAGUGGCGAACGGGUGAGUAACACGUGAGUAACCUGCCCUUGACUUUGGGAUAACUUCAGGAAACUGGGGCUAAUACCGGAUAGGAGCUCCUGCUGCAUGGUGGGGGUUGGAAAGUUUCGGCGGUUGGGGAUGGACUCGCGGCUUAUCAGCUUGUUGGUGGGGUAGUGGCUUACCAAGGCUUUGACGGAUAGCCGGCCUGAGAGGGUGACCGGGCACAUUGGGACUGAGGUACGGCCCAGACUCCUACGGGAGGCAGCAGUGGGGAAUAUUGCACAAUGGGCGGAAGCCUGAUGCAGAAACGCCGCGUGCGGGAUGACGGCCUUCGGGUUGUAAACCGCUUUCGCCUGUGACGAAGCGUGAGUGACGGUAAUGGGUAAAGAAGCACCGGCUAACUACGUG
This 468-nucleotide ribosomal RNA is filed under the name uncultured bacterium. Its description in RNAcentral is "partial 16S ribosomal RNA". It matches the Rfam family "Bacterial small subunit ribosomal RNA", at positions 28 to 507 of the family's 1533-position model. The record is from RNAcentral.